This 509-nucleotide ribosomal RNA is filed under the name uncultured bacterium. RNAcentral describes it as "bacterial SSU rRNA". It matches the Rfam family "Bacterial small subunit ribosomal RNA", at positions 30 to 526 of the family's 1533-position model. The record is from RNAcentral.
AUUGAACGCUGGCGGCAGGCCUAACACAUGCAAGUCGAGCGGCAGCGGAAGGAAGCUUGCUUCCUUGCCGGCGAGCGGCGGACGGGUGAGUAAUGUCUGGGAAACUGCCUGAUGGAGGGGGAUAACUACUGGAAACGGUAGCUAAUACCGCAUAACGUCGCAAGACCAAAGAGGGGGACCUUCGGGCCUCUUGCCAUCAGAUGUGCCCAGAUGGGAUUAGCUAGUAGGUGGGGUAAUGGCUCACCUAGGCGACGAUCCCUAGCUGGUCUGAGAGGAUGACCAGCCACACUGGAACUGAGACACGGUCCAGACUCCUACGGGAGGCAGCAGUGGGGAAUAUUGCACAAUGGGGGAAACCCUGAUGCAGCCAUGCCGCGUGUAUGAAGAAGGCCUUCGGGUUGUAAAGUACUUUCAGCGGGGAGGAAGGCAGUGAACUUAAUACGUUCACUGAUUGACGUUACCCGCAGAAGAAGCACCGGCUAACUCCGUGCCAGCCGCCGCCGUAAUAC